Molecule: ribosomal RNA, 494 nt
Filed under: uncultured bacterium
Lineage: Bacteria
Description: partial 16S ribosomal RNA
Rfam family: Bacterial small subunit ribosomal RNA
Source: RNAcentral
GACGAACGCUGGCGGCGUGCUUAACACAUGCAAGUCGAACGGAAAGGCCUGCUUUCCCUUGUGGAUUGCGGGUACUCGAGUGGCGAACGGGUGAGUAACACGUGAGUGAUCUGCCCCCAACUUGGGUAUAAGCCUGGGAAACUGGGUCUAAUUCCCGAUAGGACUGCAGGGUGGUGCCUGUGGUGGAAAACGAUUUUCUAGUGGUUGGGGAUGAGCUCGCGGCCUAUCAGCUUGUUGGUGGGGUAAUGGCCUACCAAGGCGGCGACGGGUAGCCGGCCUGGGAGGGUGGACGGCCACAUUGGGACUGAGAUACGGCCCAGACUCCUACGGGAGGCAGCAGUGGGGAAUAUUGCACAGUGGGCGGAAGCCUGAUGCAGCGACGCCGCGUGGGGGAUGACGGCCUUCGGGUUGUAAACUCCUUUCGACCGCGAGGAAGCCACCUGGUUGGAAGGGUGGUGACGGUAGUGGUAGAAGAAGCACCGGCUAACUACGUG